ACUCUAGCGAGACUGCCGUUGACAAAACGGAGGAAGGUGGGGACGACGUCAAAUCAUCAUGCCCCUUAUGUCCUGGGCUACACACGUACUACAAUGGCGGCUCACAAAGGGAAGCAAGAUAGUGAUAUGGAGCAACCCAAAAACCGCCUCAGUUCAGAUUGUAGGCUGCAACCCGCCUACAUGAAGUCGGAAUUGCUAGUAAUCGCGGAUCAGCAUGCCGCGGUGAAUUACCGGUUCCCGGGCCUU
Molecule: ribosomal RNA, 246 nt
Filed under: uncultured Papillibacter sp.
Lineage: Bacteria; Bacillati; Bacillota; Clostridia; Eubacteriales; Oscillospiraceae
Description: partial 16S ribosomal RNA
Rfam family: Bacterial small subunit ribosomal RNA
Source: RNAcentral